GACGAACGCUGGCGGCGUGCCUAACACAUGCAAGUCGAGCGGGGGUUUGAGUGGCAGUUCUGCGGCAUGGAGCUUAAAAUUCUAGCGGCGGACGGGUGAGUAACGCGUGAACAAUCUGUCCCGGACAGGGGGAUAACACUUGGAAACAGGUGCUAAUACCGCAUAAGACCACGGCUUCGCAUGGGGCUGAGGUGAAAGGAGCAAUCCGGUUCGGGGUGAGGUCGGGUCCGAUUAGCUAAUGGGUGAGGUAACGGCCCACCAAGGCGACGAGCGGUAGCCGGCCUGAGCGGGUGAACGGCCACAUUGGAACUGGGAGGCAGUCGAGGCUCCUACGGGAGGCAGCGGUGGGGAAUAUUGGGCAAUGGGCGAAAGUGUGACCAAGGCACGCCGCGUGAGGAAAGAAGGUUUUCGGAUUGAAAACCUCUGUCCUAUGGGACGAAGGAAGUGACGGUACCAGAGGAGGAAGCCCCGGCUAACUACGUG
Molecule: ribosomal RNA, 483 nt
Filed under: uncultured bacterium
Lineage: Bacteria
Description: partial 16S ribosomal RNA
Rfam family: Bacterial small subunit ribosomal RNA
Source: RNAcentral